AAUGUAUUGCCUAGAAUGUUGUUUUUGUUUCAAACAUUGCAAAUUGUGGACAAAAUGGACUGUUUCAAGAGGUGGCAGAGAGAUAUUUCUAGAUUUGUCUGGCAGGGCAAGAAGCCCAGAAUAAAAUUUAAAAUACUAACAGAUGCAAAGGAAAGAGGUGGAUUUGCCCUGCCAGACCUCAAACUUUAUUAUGAAUCAGCAGCUUUUUGCUGGUUGAAAGAAUGGCUGCUUCUUGAAAACACUGACAUUUUGGAUCUAGAAGGCUUUAACAAUGUAUUUGGUUGGCAUGCAUAUCUGUGGUAUGAUAAGGUUAAAGCACAUAAAGCAUUUAAAAACCAUAUUGUCAGGAAAGCAUUGUUUAAUGUUUGGAUAAGAUAUAAGGAUUUAUUGGAAAAUAAAACCCCAAGGUGGCUAUCACCGAUGGAAGCGAAAGCUCUGAAAAAGCUCAGUAUGGAGGUCAAAUGGCCGAAAUAUUGGGAAAUUUUGGAACAAGAUGGAGAUAGAUUGAAACUGCAGAGUUUUGAAAAACUAAAAGACAAAGUGCGAGACUGGCUUCAUUAUUAUCAGAUAAUGGAGGCAUACAAUUUGGACAAGAAAAUCGGCUUCCAGGUGG
Podarcis lilfordi (Lilford's wall lizard) is the source of this 613-nucleotide non-coding RNA. NCBI's taxonomy places the organism in Eukaryota, Metazoa, Chordata, Lepidosauria, Squamata, Lacertidae. The record is from the annotation of a GenBank genome assembly.